CCGAGUUUACAACUCCCAAACCCCCGUGAACAUACCACUUGUUGCCUCGGCGGAUCAGCCCGCUCCCGGUAAAACGGGACGGCCCGCCAGAGGACCCCUAAACUCUGUUUCUAUAUGUAACUUCUGAGUAAAACCAUAAAUAAAUC
This 146-nucleotide unclassified non-coding RNA is filed under the name soil metagenome. RNAcentral describes it as "partial internal transcribed spacer 1". The record is from RNAcentral.